This 781-nucleotide unclassified non-coding RNA is filed under the name Hevea brasiliensis (rubber tree). Lineage: Eukaryota; Viridiplantae; Streptophyta; Magnoliopsida; Malpighiales; Euphorbiaceae. The record is from RNAcentral.
GAUAGUGGCAUAAUCAGAACUCUUGAUGUCCCAAUAUACAUUACCAAGGUUUCUGGAAAUACCAUUUUUUGCUUGGAUCGGGAUGGGAAAAAUAGAACUAUUGUCAUUGAUGCAACAGAAUAUAUCUUUAAACUCUCCCUUUUGAGGAAGAGAUAUGACAAUGUUAUGAGCAUGAUUAGGAACUCUCAGCUUUGUGGGCAGGCAAUGAUUGCGUAUUUGCAGCAGAAGGGUUUUCCUGAAGUUGCUUUGCAUUUUGUGAAGGAUGAGAGAACACGAUUUAAUUUGGCCCUUGAGAGUGGAAAUAUUCAGAUUGCUGUUGCUUCAGCAAAGGAAAUUGAUGAGAAAGAUCAUUGGUAUAGAUUGGGGGUGGAAGCGCUUCGCCAAGGUAAUGCUGGUAUUGUUGCGUUGAGUAUGCCUACCAGAGGACUAAAAAUUUUGAGAGGUUAUCUUUCCUUUAUCUAAUAACUGGGAAUCUGGAAAAGCUUUCCAAGAUGCUGAAAAUUGCUGAGGUUAAGAAUGAUGUCAUGGGUCAAUUUCACAAUGCCCUGUAUUUGGGUGAUGUUCAAGAGCGUGUCAAGAUCUUAGAGAAUGCUGGUCAUUUGCCACUCGCUUAUAUAACUGCUAAAGUCCAUGGGUUAGAGGAUCUUGCUGAACGUUUGGGUGCUGAAUUAGGAGAUAAUGUUCCAUCCGUUCCAGAGGAUAAAGUGCCCUCCCUUCUGAUGCCUCCAGCUCCCGUUAUGUGUGGUAGUGACUGGCCCCUUCUAAGAGUCAUGAAAGGUAU